RNAcentral lists this long non-coding RNA (2139 nucleotides) under Triticum aestivum (bread wheat). RNAcentral describes it as "long non-coding RNA (TAES_LNC012692)". The record is from RNAcentral. Lineage: Eukaryota; Viridiplantae; Streptophyta; Magnoliopsida; Poales; Poaceae.
AACAAUCGAACAAGAACUUUCUUACACGCACCCCACUAUUAGCCCCCACAACACCGCACAACCCAGUCAGAACCACACGAUUAGUCCCACAAAUUUCAAUCUAACUGCCAUCAUUUAUCUAAUAGCGGGAUGGUGUGUACUUAGCAAUUUCUAAUGACUGACCGUACUCCACCACCAGAGGAGUAUUCCAACAACCAAUCCCAUGUUUCCCUGCAAUCACGCAAUCAGAUCGCAAACUAAGGAAACACAACCAAAUCUGCUCCCUCCCGUGUUUCCCUACAAUCACGCAAUCAAAUCGCAAACUAAGAAAACUCAAUCAAAUCUGCUCCCUCGCCCUUGACCUCGACGUUUGUCUGCCUUGAGUCACCACCGCACCAGAUGCCGCCCACCAACACCGUCGCCUCCCUGCACGAUCGCCAUCGCCGAUUGUCGCCGAUUGUUGCCGCUCGCAGCGUGGAAUCCGUCAUCAACGUAGCGGGCGCCCAGGAACCUACCCUCGCAGCAUGGCAUCCAUCCGCGAGAUCGCCUGCCUCGACACCCGCAUGGCUACGGCCGCCCUGCACAUCCCCUGAACCAGCCGGACACACGCAUCUGUAAUUUCCUCCAUGCACUUCUUCAGGUUUGACUUCUUCCUUUGACCUGUUGCAGCAUUACUCGGGAUUAUAAUUUUGAGAAUAGAGUUCUAAAAAAUAUAAACAGUUGGACAACAGAAUGCUAUAAGCCUUUCGUUUUACAUCUCUAAUUAAUGGUUUUCUAUGUGGAAAUGGUUCAUGUUUGACUGUAAGAAGAACUAAGAGCUAUACAUAUGUAGAGUUCAUUUUGCACAAUCAGACCGCCCUAUCUCUUUUACUGUGACAAAUCAACUAUGCCGCUACAGAUCAGUAAAGGAAAUCAGCUAAACUUGCAUGCAUACCUCUCAGCUCCAUCAGAUCAGGCCAAAAGCUCUCCUGUGAGGAGUCACCGAGGAGCCUACUAGAACUUGUAGAGUUCACCCUUGUUGAGUACAGAGACCAUGGUGAGGAUGGAGAUUGGUGAACGAGCGAUAAGGCACUAGCAGAGAGACCAGUAGAAAUAGCAUGGCAGUAUCACAUCAUCAUGUUUUGCAGCAUCUUCCGAUUCUUCAGGACACUCAUCCUACUAGAAACAGAUAGUUAUCAAUAUACAGAAGAGAGACACCCCCAAACUGAAAGAUUAAACAACAGUGAGAAUGAACCAGACCGUAACAAAAUCCAAUAUCCGUUGAAACAGAACUUUUUAAUCAAAUAUUUGUAACAUAGGCAGAUCAUGUGUAGUAAAGAUUUUUUUAAUCAAAUAUCUGUAACAUGGCCACAUGAAGGAGAAAUUGGAAAUUUGGAAGUAAAUAUUUCUAUUAGUACCUAAGAUGAUCCGUUUUGUCAAAUUCACAUCCAGAAGCGUUUGAAUCUUGGCUCAUAUGACACAUUCUUGACAACAUGCACAAAAGGAACUGAUGAACCACAAAUAUUUUAUAACUGAAUAUCUGCAAACUGCAUGAUCCAAACCUCCUAUUACAAACCCAAUCGGUUGAGAUUCCAUGGAAAGAAUAUUUGAAGUAGAUAUAGAUGGAAAGAAGAUAUGAUCAAAGAAAAAUAAACCAUAAAGGGUAAUAACCUUCACACCAGCAGCACUGCAUAACCAUACAGCGUCCAUCACUCAUGGGCGACAAGGAUCUACAACAAAUAAAGGACUCCUUACUGAAGGGUGAAAAGCUACAUGCAGCCAUCAGAAGAUAACUAUACGGCAAAACUGAACUGAAAAUGUGCCUAACCAGAUUCAGCCAUAAAGAGUUCUAAACAUAAAAAAGUUGCUUAAUAAAGAUAUAAUACAUGAUGAACAAGUGAUGCAAAUAAAGAUGACAAACUAGCAUGGCUAAGUAUUAUUAUGAGUAGACACCUCCUAAUUUAUUUAUUUUGUUCAAUUUCACCAUCUCUCAAUCCUCCGUAGUGUCUUGUUUAUGCAAAACUAGCAAGAUGGAAAUGGACUAUUCUGUCCAUGUUUUCUUUUCAUUCAUGGCGGGGACUUCUAAAAUUAGCCAAAAACAUGGACAGAAAAUGCAGAGGCACGGGCUGACUUGGACGGCCUCGCACCAGAUACAGAUUGAAUUUAUUUUCGCAUGAUCCU